GAUGAACGCUGGCGGCGUGCCUAAUACAUGCAAGUCGAGCGAACAGAUGAGGAGCUUGCUCCUCUGACGUUAGCGGCGGACGGGUGAGUAACACGUGGAUAACCUACCUAUAAGACUGGGAUAACUUCGGGAAACCGGAGCUAAUACCGGAUAAUAUAUUGAACCGCAUGGUUCAAUAGUGAAAGACGGUUUUGCUUUCACUUAUAGAUGGAUCCGCUCCGCAUUAGCUAGUUGGUAAGGUAACGGCUUACCAAGGCAACGAUGCGUAGCCGACCUGAGAGGGUGAUCGGCCACACUGGAACUGAGACACGGUCCAGACUCCUACGGGAGGCAGCAGUAGGGAAUCUUCCGCAAUGGGCGAAAGCCUGACGGAGCAACGCCGCGUGAGUGAUGAAGGUCUUCGGAUCGUAAAACUCUGUUAUUAGGGAAGAACAAAUGUGUAAGUAACUAUGCACGUCUUGACGGUACCUAAUCAGAAAGCCACGGCUAACUACGUG
RNAcentral lists this ribosomal RNA (497 nucleotides) under uncultured bacterium. RNAcentral's name for it is "partial 16S ribosomal RNA". It matches the Rfam family "Bacterial small subunit ribosomal RNA", at positions 28 to 507 of the family's 1533-position model. The record is from RNAcentral.